AUAAAACCAGCAAGGAUAUACCUAUAAAGGGGUUCCUAGCCCCAUCUUGUGGUACUUAUCCACAGAAAAAAAAGGAUUUUUCAAGUGGCCCUUCAUUGAAUAUAUAUAUAUAUAUAUAUAUAUAUAUAUAUAUAUAUAUAUAUAUAUAUAUAAUGGUGAAGCACAGGCAGCAGUUUGAGCAUGAAAGAGUGAAGUGGGAGAGAGAAGAGAAAGAAGAUCUAGAAAGAGUGAGUG
RNAcentral lists this long non-coding RNA (234 nucleotides) under Vigna radiata. RNAcentral describes it as "long non-coding RNA (VRAD_LNC009611)". The record is from RNAcentral. Lineage: Eukaryota; Viridiplantae; Streptophyta; Magnoliopsida; Fabales; Fabaceae.